GACGGAGCAACGCCGCGUGAGUGAUGAAGGUUUUCGGAUCGUAAAGCUCUGUUGUUAGGGAAGAACAAGUACCGUUCGAAUAGGGCGGUACCUUGACGGUACCUAACCAGAAAGCCACGGCUAACUACGUGCCAGCAGCCGCGGUAAUACGUAGGUGGCAAGCGUUGUCCGGAAUUAUUGGGCGUAAAGGGCUCGCAGGCGGUUUCUUAAGUCUGAUGUGAAAGCCCCCGGCUCAACCGGGGAGGGUCAUUGGAAACUGGGGAACUUGAGUGCAGAAGAGGAGAGUGGAAUUCCACGUGUAGCGGUGAAAUGCGUAGAGAUGUGGAGGAACACCAGUGGCGAAGGCGACUCUCUGGUCUGUAACUGACGCUGAGGAGCGAAAGCGUGGGGAGCGAACAGGAUUAG
RNAcentral lists this ribosomal RNA (405 nucleotides) under Bacillus subtilis. RNAcentral describes it as "bacterial SSU rRNA". It matches the Rfam family "Bacterial small subunit ribosomal RNA", at positions 385 to 781 of the family's 1533-position model. The record is from RNAcentral. Lineage: Bacteria; Bacillati; Bacillota; Bacilli; Caryophanales; Bacillaceae.